Dermacentor silvarum is the source of this 1047-nucleotide long non-coding RNA. RefSeq lists it as uncharacterized. The transcript has 3 exons. NCBI's taxonomy places the organism in Eukaryota, Metazoa, Arthropoda, Arachnida, Ixodida, Ixodidae. The record is from RefSeq and is a predicted model, not a curated record.
CGCCUGUGCAUACAUGAUGAGAACAAAUGAAGCAUAGGCUGGGUGAAGAAUCAAGCACUAUGUCAUCAAUCACGUAGCAAUAAGUACUGAAGGUGGAUCCACAAUGGCCAUGAAGUGGAACAUGAUGUGAUACAAUUCCCACUUGAGUGCAUGAGCGUUUCUUAAAUGCUUAUUGAAAGAUGGAAAGAACUUUGACCAAGACCAAAAAGUUAACCGCCGUAAAGACAGGUGGCCUUGUGCAAGCACUGAUGAGAAGGACUCCGCGUUAAUGGUGCCACGUACGUGAAGGUGCUUGCCCCCGUUGUAAAGCCCUGGAUGGAGACUGUUUCGAAAGGAAGACCUUAUGUCUUUCAGCAAGAUUUGGCUCCUGCCCACACCGCCUGCGUCACCCAGGAGUGACAACUUCUACGACCACGUCACUCCCAACUUGUGGCCUCCUAGUUCUCCAGAUUUAAAUCUGCUCGACUACUGUACUAUGUCUGGAGCGUCGUUGAGAGAGAGGUCAACAAACAGCCACAUAAUACAAAAGACUCACUGAAGGCCACCAUUGCCGACUCAAUGGCCAACAUCUCUAAGGACCACCUGAUCCGUGCCUGCAGCCGUUUCCGAAGCCGGAUUGAAUCGGUUAUUACUGCGGAUGGUGGAUUCAUUGAGUAAUUGCGGAAAUAAACUGUAAGAGAAGUAUUUCUCAAAGUUUGGUGAAAAUAUGCCUAUUUUUGCUGGAGAUAUUUUUCUCUGCCUGAAGCCAACAUUGUGUUCUCAAAUACCUCGCGCACCCGGUAUAUAUAACAGGAAAACGAGCAAACACAUGAGAUUCUAAUUAUACAAUGUUAGCUAGGGCAUUCUUGAAUAGGUGGUGAUUUCUGAUGGAAAUUACAUGCGGAGGAAGGCGAUUCCACUCUUCUGAUGUCUGUGGUAUGAAUGAUUGAAAAAAAGUGUCAGUUCUGCAAAAAGGAAUUCAAACUUUUUCUGUGUGAUCUAAGCUAGAUGAAACAUACAGAGAUCGGUCUUUUCAUGAAUGAAGACUUGGCAAACCAGAAAAGCCAC